GCGGCCGUCGUCUAGUCUGGUAGGACUCGGCUGUACCAGCCCGUGAUCCCGGGUUCAAAUCCCGGCGGCCGCACCA
Molecule: transfer RNA, 76 nt
Filed under: Thermoprotei archaeon
Lineage: Archaea; Thermoproteati; Thermoproteota; Thermoprotei
Description: tRNA-Val
Rfam family: tRNA
About the family: Transfer RNA (tRNA) molecules are approximately 80 nucleotides in length.
Source: RNAcentral